RNAcentral lists this ribosomal RNA (971 nucleotides) under Klebsiella pneumoniae. Its description in RNAcentral is "bacterial SSU rRNA". It matches the Rfam family "Bacterial small subunit ribosomal RNA". Lineage: Bacteria; Pseudomonadati; Pseudomonadota; Gammaproteobacteria; Enterobacterales; Enterobacteriaceae. The record is from RNAcentral.
GUUACCCGCAGAAGAAGCACCGGCUAACUCCGUGCCAGCAGCCGCGGGAGUUUGAUUCUGGCUCAGAUUGAACGCUGGCGGCGAGCCUAACACAUGCAAGUCGAGCGGUAGCACAGAGAGCUUGCUCUCGGGUGACCAGCGGCGGACGGGUGAAUAAUGUCUGGGAAACUGCCUGAUGGAGGGGGAUAAACUACUGGAAACGGUAGCUAAUACCGCAUAAUGUCGCAAGACCAAAGUGGGGGACCUUCGGGCCUCAUGCCAUCAGAUGUACCCAGAUGGGAUUAGCUAGUAGGUGGGGUAACGGCUCACCUAGGCGACGAUCCCUAGCUGGUCUGAGAGGAUGACCAGCCACACUGGAACUGAGACACGGUCCAGACUCCUACGGGAGGCAGCAGUGGGGAAUAUUGCACAAUGGGCGCAAGCCUGAUGCAGCCAUGCCGCGUGUGUGAAGAAGGCCUUCGGGUUGUAAAGCACUUUCAGCGGGGAGGAAGGCGAUAAGGUUAAUAACCUUGUCGAUUGACGUUACCCGCAGAAGAAGCACCGGCUAACUCCGUGCCAGCAGCCGCGGUAAUACGGAGGGUGCAAGCGUUAAUCGGAAUUACUGGGCGUAAAGCGCACGCAGGCGGUCUGUCAAGUCGGAUGUGAAAUCCCCGGGCUCAACCUGGGAACUGCAUUCGAAACUGGCAGGCUACUUAGAGUCUUGUAGAGGGGGGUAGAAUUCCAGGUGUAGCGGUGAAAUGCGUAGAGAUCUGGAGGAAUACCGGUGGCGAAGGCGGCCCCCUGGACAAAGACUGACGCUCAGGUGCGAAAGCGUGGGGUGAGCAAACAGGAUUAAAUACCCGUAGAUCAGAAUGCUACGGUGAAUACGUUCCCGGGCCUUGUACACACCGCCCGUCACACCAUGGGAGUGGGUUGCAAAAGAAGUAGGUAGCUUAACCUUCGGGAGGGCGCUUACCACUUUGUGAUUCCAA